ACCUGGCAGGGGAGAUACCAUGAUCAAGAAGGUGGUUCAUGGAGGUACCAUGAUCAAGAAGGUGGUUCACCCAUGCGAGGCCUGGCCAUUGCACUCCGGUGGGGCUGACCUAUGCGAAUUCCCCAAAUGUGGGAAUCUCGACUGCAUAAUUUGUGGUAGUGGGGGACUGCGUUCGCGCUCUCCCCUG
Small nuclear RNA from Labrus bergylta (ballan wrasse), 187 nucleotides. Its record names the gene U1. It matches the Rfam family "U1 spliceosomal RNA". From Rfam's summary of the family: U1 is a small nuclear RNA (snRNA) component of the spliceosome (involved in pre-mRNA splicing). Its 5' end forms complementary base pairs with the 5' splice junction, thus defining the 5' donor site of an intron. The record is from Ensembl. NCBI's taxonomy places the organism in Eukaryota, Metazoa, Chordata, Actinopteri, Labriformes, Labridae.